Molecule: ribosomal RNA, 497 nt
Filed under: uncultured bacterium
Lineage: Bacteria
Description: partial 16S ribosomal RNA
Rfam family: Bacterial small subunit ribosomal RNA
Source: RNAcentral
GAUGAACGCUGGCGGCGUGCCUAAUACAUGCCAGUCGAGCGAACAGACGAGGAGCUUGCUCCCCUGACGUUAGCGGCGGACGGGUGAGUAACACGUGGAUAACCUACCUAUAAGGCUGGGAUAACUUCGGGAAACCGGAGCUAAUACCGGAUAAUAUAUUGAACCGCAUGGUUCAAUAGUGAAAGACGGUUUUGCUGUCACUUAUAGAUGGAUCCGCGCCGCAUUAGCUAGUUGGUAAGGUAACGGCUUACCAAGGCAACGAUGCGUAGCCGACCUGAGAGGGUGAUCGGCCACACUGGAACUGAGACACGGUCCAGACUCCUACGGGAGGCAGCAGUAGGGAAUCUUCCGCAAUGGGCGAAAGCUUGACGGAGCAACGCCGCGUGAGUGAUGAAGGUCUUCGGAUCGUAAAACUCUGUUAUUAGGGAAGAACAAAUGUGUAAGUAACUAUGCACGUCUUGACGGUACCUAAUCAGAAAGCCACGGCUAACUACGUG